GAUACCUGAGCUUGCGCCUGUGUGUUCCACUGAUGGCUCCUCCUAGGCGAGGCCCAGGCACCAGCUGCACAGCGAUCCCAAUGUACAGUAUAUGGCAACCUUUUUAAGCACGCCAAGGCUUUGAUGAGUUGUAUUUCUAGCAACAUUGCUCAUUAAUUUUUUUUCAUUAACGAACAAAAUGAAAAUCACAAAUCAGAACAAGUAUCAAAUUGCUUCAGCAUAAAACUAAAUUACCUCCUAACAACUUUGGGUUGUCUGAUUUGAAUGAUAUCAUCAGUGAUGCAAAUUGAUUUCCUACAUAAAAAUGAGGAACUCUGGGGAGAACUUUCCCAUGCAAAACAUGUUCUCAUUUAUCUGUUGUUUAAAGCUUUAGCUACAUUGGUUGACUAGGAAUGAAUUUACUGAUGGGCCCAUUGUGUCUCAGUUUCAGCUGUAAGCAUCUCACAGAUCUCAGAAUUUGUAUCUUAUCGAGGCUUCCUUUUUUUUCCUGGAAAUAUUUCUGAAGUUAUUUGGCUAUAUCUGUGGCUCAUGUUUUUUUCAUGUCUGGGAAUCCAGUACUCUUUUAAGGGCUGCAUUCAUUUAUUUGUGAAAUCUAUAUGGGCUCUCUUGCAUGACUGAGUUCAUACUGGAAAAUUGAAAUCCUUUUUGUAACAUGUGUUAUUUGUUGUUUCUCUAAUCCAGUCGUUUUUAUAAUACCAACAUCAAGAAAUAUGGUAGAGCCAAGAUCAUUCUAAACACUGCCCCUAUUUCAUGUACAAAUAUAAUGCGUGCAUGUUUUCGGAACACUUAUACACUGAGAGUAUAUCCUGGCUUAAUUGGGUAAUGGUCAGAUUCAAUUCAGCAAUUAAGGAAAAAAACAACAUUCCCUGUGUCCUGUAAACUCACAAUUCCCCCAGGUAUUUAGCUACUACAAGACAAAAAUUAAUAAGACAUCAUUUCUAUCAUCUAAUAGUUCAAUUUCUAGUUGAAAAGGAAACCACCAAGAAAACCAAGAAACUAAUCUUAAUAUAUGUGUUAGGAUCAGUAUAUCAGCCUAAUAUAUGUGAGAGUGUAACAGUGGUGUCUAUAAUACAGGGAUCCACAAAAUACUAUGGGAGGAGAAUAUGGAGAUUCCCUUUUGGGGAAUGAAGUUUGUAAAGGCAAGGCAGAAUGGAUGGCCUUGGGAAAGGUUGGUGUUCAGGAAAAAGAAUUUCAGAAUGUAAUUGAGCAGACCCAUAUAACUAGAAUAGAAAAAAUGCCCAGGUAAGGAUAUCGGUAGAAAGAAGGAAGGGGCCAAGAUUUUGGAGGCAUUUAUAAAGUUAUCCUGGAUAUUUUGAACUUAAUUCUGUACACAGCCCUUAUAUGUUUUUUUGAGGAGAAAUGCUAUGAUUCUACCUGUGUUUUAGAAAAGUUAUUUUGCCAAAGUGGGUGAAACUGAGUUACAGGGGGGAAGAAACUAGAGGCAGAAAAAAAAGCAAUGUACAUUUGAAAUCCAUAGAUCACAAGGAAAAUGAGGAAAGUCCCUCAGGCACUGUUAGAAAAAUGGAAAGGGGGUCACGUGAGUUUUCAAAGGUAGAAUUAGAUAUUUUCUAUAAAGAUGAAAGGAUGCGGGCAAUGAAACCCACAUGUUGAGCUGUCAUUGUUGGGGAAGAGGGCUGUGUCAUUGACUGAAGCAGGAAGUCCAGAAGUAGUAGUGGUGGGUUUUGGGGAGAGGUGGUGAGUUAUGUAUCUGACAUCCUGAGCUAGAGGCCCUGGUGUAGCAUCCCUGUGGGCAAGGUCAAGGCAGAGCUACAAGAAAGCUCAGAGCUACGAUGAUGGCCAUAACCAAGGGAGCAGAUAAAAACACUAAGGAUAACUUGUAGGGGAGCUGGUGGAGUGGGGUCCAUUAGGGUAGGCAGCUGAAAACUGAACCUUGGAGGACAUAUACUAACAACAUUGGGCCAUGACUGUGAGAUAUUCUUCACUCUCAGCCCGUGGGAAGCAUGUGGUGUGUAAGAAGCUUUAGACUAUUAAUUCUGUCACUUCCAGACAUGCCUGACCGAUUCCUAAAGUUUGGGGUAAAAAUAUCUACAGGAGCAACCAGAGACAUCUGAGGCACGCAACUCAGGCAGUCAGUAAUAUUGAUUGAGCCCCAGUCACAAAGGCAGAUGCUUCACAGACAAAUAAGCCCUGUGAACCUCAGUGGAUCCCAUGACCUGCCUGAUCCUUGGAGUGGUCCAUAUGGAGGGACCCUCCACUAGGCAAAGGUUUGCUCGGGAAUGCAAGUAUCUCUUGUCACUGUACAACACUGGUGAAACCAAAAGGGUCCAUUGCUAACCUGGAAAAGCUGUAUCCUAGACUAUAAUCAUAAGGUUUGAAGAGGAAGGGGAUGUAGCUGAAACGGCUUGUCAGAGUUUCUAUAAGCAAUUAUCUCUUAACAGUGGGGUGCUGAUCUGGACAGAUGUGGUGGGUAUACUUACCUCAACCCCUAACACUCCUGUCCACAUCUUCUUGUAGCUGCUUAUUUAAUUUCCUCUCUCUCUCCAAAGAAACCUUUAAACUCAGUGAAGACAGGACCUGUGUAAUCUAGAAAAUGUAUCUUCAGAGAAGGGAGUUGCAGGGGAAUGCUUGACUGUCUAUUGGAAAUACUCGAAGAAAAUAUUAGAACAUAUCUCUGUUUUGAUGUCAAGUUUCUGUGUGUUUUAUGUGUGUGUUUUAUAAUGUGCCUGUUGGUAUAGUUUUAUAAAUGCUCAUGUUUUAAACACAUAAAUGUAUAAAUAUUGAGUUUGCUGCUCUAAGAUAUUUUUAUUCAUAAUAAUAUGGAUGUAAAAAGUAAUUUGGAGACUACUGGUCUCAAACGUAAUAAGCACUGAUAAAUUUGGAAGGAGAAAGUGGAGGGAGGGAAGGAGGGAAGAAAGAUAAGGAGAAAUAAAGGGAGGGAGGGACCACAGAGCCCUCUCGGGACAUCACUGAAGGAAAGGCAGUUAAGGAUGAUCUUAUGGGAGGGCAGAGGGCUGCUAGACUUUUUGCCUUGAGGCUCAUGUCAAAGAGGCAGGUGAUCACACGGUCAUUUCACACUAAUAAAAGCCUCCAGUGGCAUUUUCUGGCCUCAGCGUUUGGAGCCCGUGGAUGGCAGUGGUGACUGAAUCACAUCUUUCACCAAGCACAUGGGGCGGGUACCCUAAAAGUUAGCCCUCGUCGUCAGAGAGAUACUACUGCCACUUCCAUGUCUGGGGAAAAAUGCUACUUUAAUGAUACUUUAAGUCCUAUUUAGAGUAUUGUUAUUUUCUUCAGAAAAACGGCCCCUGAAGUAGUUAUAGGUAGAAACUCCAUACAGUUGGGAAGAGAGAGCAAUUCCAUUUAUGGAAAGUUGUUUAUAGUCAUUGAUGAGUUGAAAGAAGUUCAACUCCAAGAAGUUGAACUCAACCAAGUUGCCGAGGUUGGAAAGAAGGUCACUGUGAAUUCAAGGAGCUGAUGGGACCAGGCACCAGAGCAGCAUUGAAGUGUUGUUUUGAAUAGCCAAGAAUUGGAGCAGGGGCAGUACUGGAGAAAUGGACUGAUGCAGAAGGCAUUUGUGGGGAAAUAGCAGGAAUGAUACCGGGAGUCUGUAGACCAUGGUGAAAAUGAAGGUGCAUUGGUUAUAAAAUGUUGUGAGGUGAGGUUUACAUUGGAGAGUUUAGGUAGGAGGGAAGCCAUAUGGAGUUAGGAGCAAGGAGGACUCCCCACUUACACAUCCAGUGGGAGAAGGGAUGGUAGGGGGAAAAACACACUUGGGAGGGCUACAAAGGCCCAGUGUCCCCAGAAUAAAUCAGUUAAUGAUUGGAAACGUGCAAAUGGAAGCAACUUGCAGUGAUAGUUUAUAUCCACUCAGGAUGCAGACGUAACAUGUGGGCCUUCCAAGGCUGGUUACUGUGAAACUAAUUCACCCCUUCUUCAUUAGGACCAUGCUAAUUUGGUAGAGCCUUUUAAAAGUCAAUAUGGGGUCCUGUACGAACUCUCCCGCACCCCCCCUCCCCGGGGAAAAUGCUUGCCGGGGUUUGUCUGUUUUCACGUCUGGUGUGGCUGGACAUAACAAGAUGCAGUUUCUUGGAGGAAAUCGGAGGAAACUGAGGUUGGCAGAUGACCAGAGGAAUGCUUGCUACCCACAUAGCCUUCUGUUUUACUUGCAGCCGCCUUCUGGAAACAUAUCUUUGAUAGAAUUUGAAAACUUGGCUGCCGAUAGAGUUAAAUUGCUGAAAGCAGUUAAGAGUCUUGGUGUGAGCUAUGUGAAAGGAACCGAGCAGUACCAGAGAAAGCUGGAGGCUGAGCUUCGGAAGCUUAAGUUUUCCUACAGAGAAAACUUGGAAGAUGAAUAUGAACCCCGAAGAAGAGAUCACGUUUCUCACUUUAUUUUACACCUUGCUUACUGCCAGUCUGAAGAGCUUAGGCGCUGGUUCAUUCAACAAGAAAUGAAUCUCCUUCUAUUUCAAUUCAGUAUUUUACCCAAGGACAAAAUUCAGAGUUUCUUAAAGGAUAGCCAUUUGCAGUUGGAGGCUAUAAGUGAUGAAGAGAAGACUCUCCGAGAACAGGAUAUUGUGGCUUCAUCACACCGUUUAGGUGGGGUUCAGUUGCAGUCAGUUUAUGAGAGCCCUUUUGCUGAUGCUCUGGAUUUGUUCCGAGGAAGGAAAGUCUAUUUGGAAAAUGGCUUUGCUUAUGUACAACUCAAGGACAUUGCGGCGAUCAUCCUGAAUGAAUUUAAAACCAAACUGUCCAAGGUUUUGGCUUUAACAGCCAGGUCCUUGCCUGCUGUGCAGUCAGGUGAGAGACUCCAGCCACUGCUCAGCCACCUCAGUCAUUCGUACACUGGUCAAGACUACAGUACACAGACAAAUGUUGGGAAGGUUUCUUUAGAUCAGAUCGAUUCGCUUUCUACCAAAUCCUUCCCACCUUGCAUAGAUCAGCUACAUAAAGCCCUGCGGGAAAAUCACCAUCUUCGUCAUGGGGGCCUCACGCAGUACGGCCUCUUCCUGAAGGACAUUGGCCUAACCUUGGAACAGGCGUGGCAGCUCUGGAAGCAGACAUUUAUCACAGGAAAGAUGGAUCCAGAUAAAUCUGAUAAAGGCUACUCUUACAAUAUCUGUCAUAGCUUUGGAAAGGAAGGCAAGAGGACAGACUACACACUUUACAGUUGCCUGAAGAUUAUCCUAACCAAUCCACCAAGCCAAGGGGAUUAUCAUGGGUGCCCUUUCUGGCACAGUGAUCCUCAACUGCUGAGGCAGAAGAUGCAAGUGUACAAGAUCCCUCCCUCAGGGAUCAACCAGAUUUUGGAUUUAGUAAAAGGGACACAUUACCAGGUAGCCUGUCAGAAGUUCUUCAAGAUGACACAUAAUGUAGAUAGAUGAUUGUGGCUUUUCUUUGAGUCAUCCAAACCAGUUCUUUUUUGAGAGCCAUUGGAUCCUCAGUGGAGGUAAAGACAUCAAGAAGGAAUCCGUCCAACCAGAAAUGCCCCAACCGAGUGUCCAGAGAAGCAAGGAUGCGUCAUCUGCUCUGGCCUCACUCAACUCCUCUCUGGAAAUGGAUCUGGAGGGACUAGAGGAUUUACUUCAGUGAACAAUCCCUGGGCAGUUGGUAGCCCGUCUUCCUCACUAGCUUUUAUUUCCUACUUUACGAUUUUAUCUUUUUCUUUUUUGUCUGCCUUCUCCCUCCACCCAACCCCCCUUCAUCCAUCCACAUAUGCAUGAGCUUCUCGGGAAAGGCAGCCUUGCAGGUAAAAACAAAGACCUCCGGUAUAUUUUGCUUUGACAAAAGAGAAGAGGAAGAAUUUCUUUCGAAAUCUAACGCUUGAAUGGUGUGAUUUAAGUCCCGUUUUAGGAGAUAAAACAGCUUUCUGGAUUGGUUACUGUCCCCUAGAAACAGUAUAACUAAGAACAACUUUUAUUUUAAUGCUUAUCACUGUAAUGUUGACCCAGGACUUUUCUGGACCAUUUUUGUUAAUAAAUAUCAAAAUGUAAAAGAAAGAAAAAGUCAUUAUGAAAAGAGCAAUCGGGAAUGUACUAUGAUGCUACUAAUUCUACUGAGAGAUUUUAUUCAGACAUAUUUUUAAAGUGUUUUAUAUGCUCACGCUUAGCACCACUUUAUUCUCUAUAUGGGUAGCACUGUUAUACAGCCAUUACCAUGAUAGUCGAGAGGACUAAACUACGACAAACCAUGGAAUUGUUUAUUAGAGGAAGUUCAGUGAGUAUGGAAGAAUAUAAAAUCAUGUGUACCAUAAACAUGGAGCUAUGGAAAUAUUUGACAGUCAGUAGUGCUCAUCGUUAUGUCUGUGGGUGGCCAGGAUGCUUGGUGCAAACACUGCCUUUCCACUUCAUAGAUGUGUGACCUGUGGUCAAUCCCUUAACUUUGCUGGGUGCCUCAGUUUCCCCAUCUAUAAAAUGAUAAUAAUAGGGCCUGACUUGAUAAUUAAAUGAGUUAAUACAUAGGUAAUGCUCAACAAUACCUCAUGCUGACUGUAUAAAAUGGCAGUAUUAAGCAGGGAAAAUCUUUGUGUUAAGGUGAUAGAUUAUUAUUAACUUUACAUUUCUCCAAACUUGUUAUAUUGUCUUUUCUAAAAAAAAAAAAAAAAAAAAAA
Non-coding RNA from Delphinapterus leucas (beluga whale), 6565 nucleotides. NCBI's taxonomy places the organism in Eukaryota, Metazoa, Chordata, Mammalia, Artiodactyla, Monodontidae. The record is from RefSeq and is a predicted model, not a curated record.